This 70-nucleotide transfer RNA is filed under the name Hepatica maxima. Its description in RNAcentral is "Anemone maxima tRNA-Pro". It matches the Rfam family "tRNA". Rfam says of the family: Transfer RNA (tRNA) molecules are approximately 80 nucleotides in length. Lineage: Eukaryota; Viridiplantae; Streptophyta; Magnoliopsida; Ranunculales; Ranunculaceae. RNAcentral also lists the same sequence under 4 other names. The record is from RNAcentral.
CGAGGUGUAGCGCAGUCUGGUCAGCGCAUCUGUUUUGGGUACAGAGUAGGUUCGAAUCCUGUCACCUUGG